AUAUUACUAUUUUAUAGUAAAUAUUACUAUAUUGUAUUAGAUUUCAGUUUUUUUAUAAUUUUUUUUUAAAAAUGGAUCACAUAUCCGGUUAUAAUCUAGAUUUUAACGGAUAUCCGUGACAACUGGUUACUUGCGAAACAAAUACAGAUUUUUUUUUCAAACAAAUUAUUCCGAUGGAGCAAAUCAGAUAUUCAGAUCAC
RNAcentral lists this long non-coding RNA (200 nucleotides) under Capsella rubella. RNAcentral describes it as "long non-coding RNA (CRUB_LNC002099)". Lineage: Eukaryota; Viridiplantae; Streptophyta; Magnoliopsida; Brassicales; Brassicaceae. The record is from RNAcentral.